GUGCCAGCAGCCGCGGUAAUACGUAGGGUGCGAGCGUUAAUCGGAAUUACUGGGCGUAAAGCGUGCGCAGGCGGUUUUGUAAGUCAGAUGUGAAAGCCCCGGGCUCAACCUGGGAACUGCGUUUGAAACUGCAAGGCUAGAGUAUGGGAGAGGGAGGUAGAAUUCCACGUGUAGCAGUGAAAUGCGUAGAGAUGUGGAGGAAUACCAAUGGCGAAGGCAGCCUCCUGGCCUAAUACUGACGCUCAUGCACGAAAGCGUGGGGAGCAAACAGGAUUAGAUACCCUGGUAGUCCACGCCCUAAACGAUGUCUACUAGUUGUUGGUGGAGUAAAAUCCAUUAGUAACGCAGCUAACGCGUGAAGUAGACCGCCUGGGGAGUACGGUCGCAAGAUUAAAACUCAAAGGAAUUGACGG
This 413-nucleotide ribosomal RNA is filed under the name uncultured bacterium. Its description in RNAcentral is "bacterial SSU rRNA". It matches the Rfam family "Bacterial small subunit ribosomal RNA", at positions 505 to 916 of the family's 1533-position model. The record is from RNAcentral.